UCUCAGUCCCCUACCUGCUCCUACCUGUUGGAUCACCUACUCACCCAGACCUGACUCACCUCUCCCCCUGCUUCCCUUCAGCCUGAAGAAACAUUCCGCCCCGCUGAGCAGUUCCCUGAGUCUGCCGUUAUUCCUGCUAUUUCGCAGCGCCUUCAGUUCCAGUUUGUUCUUCCCGUCGUUUUAUCAUUUCUAUAAUAAAUCUUGUUUAUUUUA
Molecule: non-coding RNA, 213 nt
Organism: Nothobranchius furzeri (turquoise killifish)
Lineage: Eukaryota; Metazoa; Chordata; Actinopteri; Cyprinodontiformes; Nothobranchiidae
Source: RefSeq, a predicted model, not a curated record